This 248-nucleotide long non-coding RNA is filed under the name Astyanax mexicanus (Mexican tetra). RNAcentral's name for it is "lncRNA (ENSAMXG00005023248.1)". Lineage: Eukaryota; Metazoa; Chordata; Actinopteri; Characiformes; Acestrorhamphidae. The record is from RNAcentral.
UUUUAUAGCACUUUUUACAACUGAUGUCGCAUAGCAUCUUUACAGAAAUCUGAUCUCAUUACAGAGAACCAGACAAAACAUUGAACAUACAACACAGUACCUCCAGUGAACAACAGAGGCAAGAAAAAAAAUCCUCAGAGCUGGAGAAGAAGAAUGAAACCAUGGGCCUCAGAGGUGUUCCUGCAUUGAGCUUCUGUUUUCCUGUGCUUCCUGUAUUCCUGUCUUAUCUCCUCUGUAGAGGUAUUCCG